This 253-nucleotide ribosomal RNA is filed under the name uncultured bacterium. Its description in RNAcentral is "partial 16S ribosomal RNA". It matches the Rfam family "Bacterial small subunit ribosomal RNA", at positions 524 to 776 of the family's 1533-position model. The record is from RNAcentral.
UACAGAGGGGGCAAGCGUUGUUCGGAAUUACUGGGCGUAAAGGGCGCGUAGGCGGCCUUCUAAGUCGAACGUGAAAUCCCCGGGCUCAACCCAGGAACUGCGUCCGAUACUGGUUGGCUUGAAUCCGGGAGAGGGAUGUGGAAUUCCAGGUGUAGCGGUGAAAUGCGUAGAUAUCGGGAGGAACAUCAGUGGCGAAGGCGGCUGCCUGGCCCAAUACUGACACUCAGGUGCGACAGCGUGGGGAGCAAACAGG